CUGCAUGGCUGUCGUCAGCUCGUGUCGUGAGAUGUUGGGUUAAGGUCCCGUAACGAGCGCAACCCUUGUCCUUAGUUACCAGCACGUUAUGGUGGGCACUCUAAGGAGACUGCCGGUGACAAACCGGAGGAAGGUGGGGAGUGACGUCAAGUCAUCAUGGCCCUUACGGCCUGGGCUACACACGUGCUACAAUGGUCGGUACAAAGGGUUGCCAAGCCGCGAGGUGGAGCUAAUCCCAUAAAACCGAUCGUAGUCCGGAUCGCAGUCUGCAACUCGACUGCGUGAAGUCGGAAUCGCUAGUAAUCGUGAAUCAGAAUGUCACGGUGAAUACGUUCCCGGGCCUU
This 344-nucleotide ribosomal RNA is filed under the name uncultured Pseudomonas sp. Its description in RNAcentral is "bacterial SSU rRNA". It matches the Rfam family "Bacterial small subunit ribosomal RNA", at positions 1041 to 1382 of the family's 1533-position model. Lineage: Bacteria; Pseudomonadati; Pseudomonadota; Gammaproteobacteria; Pseudomonadales; Pseudomonadaceae. The record is from RNAcentral.